This 301-nucleotide ribosomal RNA is filed under the name uncultured bacterium. RNAcentral's name for it is "partial 16S ribosomal RNA". It matches the Rfam family "Bacterial small subunit ribosomal RNA", at positions 509 to 809 of the family's 1533-position model. The record is from RNAcentral.
CAGUAGCCGCGGUAAUACGUAGGGGGCAAGCGUUAUCCGGAAUUACUGGGUGUAAAGGGAGCGUAGACGGUUAAACAAGUCUGAAGUGAAAUGCCGGGGCUCAACCCCGGAGCUGCUUUGGGAACUGUAGAACUGGAGUGUCGGAGGGGUAAGCGGAAUUCCCAGUGUAGCGGUGAAAUGCGUAGAUAUUGGGAGGAACACCGGCGGCGAAGGCGGCUUACUGGACGACAACUGACGUUGAGGCUCGAAGGCGUGGGUAGCAAACAGGAUUAGAUACCCGUGUAGUCCCUGUCUCUUAUCA